Astatotilapia calliptera (eastern happy) is the source of this 1047-nucleotide long non-coding RNA. NCBI's taxonomy places the organism in Eukaryota, Metazoa, Chordata, Actinopteri, Cichliformes, Cichlidae. The record is from Ensembl.
GAAGGUACCAUCUGUGCAGUCUGCAAUUUUGUUGAAGAAAGAUGUUGAAUCUAUUUAAUAUUUCUUGAAAAAUAAUUGAUUUCUGUGCAUUUUUUUUCACACUGCAUCAAAUUAAGGUUGAUUACGUCGAUUAAGCAUCAUGAGGUGGCGCGUGAGGGGUGGUUCCCUAUUUUUUAUUUAUUUAUUUUUGUUGUUGCUGGGAGUUGGAACCCUAUUAGUUAGGUUGCUUAAUAUUUACGCUAAGUACUCUUUAAAAUACCAGAAUAGGGAGGAUGGUGUAGGUCUAAGUUUAUUAGAUUGAUCAGUAUUGCUGAACUAUGAAAUACCAAUUGUUUGCUAGUUUAGUUUAGUUUUUAUUUUUUUGAAAAUCCUUAGUUUCAGUUUAGUUUUGAUUAGUUUCAGUUAUAGUUUUAGUUGUGUUUGCAAAAAUUAAGUGUAACAAAAUCCCAGUUUCAUCAUAUCUGUCAUGGUCCCGGGCCAUGUGGGCCCAGUAUUCUUAGUUCCUUGUAUUUUUGUAUUUCGUUCCUUAUUUAGGCCAUGUUUCCUGAUUGUCCUGUUGUGUUGUUCCCUAAGUGUUUUCCCUUCGUGACUCUUACCCCCUGUGUGCCCCUCUGUGUAUUUAUGAGCCCUCGUCUCUCUUUGUGUUUAUUCCAUGUUUCCCCUGCCCGUUAUGUCUGUGUUCUCUCUCCUCCUAUCUGAACCUCUGUACUUCCUGUUUUACUUUACCCGUCUCCCGUCGGUGUUGUGUUCACUCCUGCCGUGUCUCGUUAUGAUUAUCGGUGUCACCUGUGUUCCCCAUGUGCUUCCACUUCCCUCGUUAACCCUCUGUGUAUUUAGGUCUGCGUCUCCCUCAGUUCUGUGUCGUAGUCUCCCUCAUAGCUGUGUGAUUUUUCCCUGUGGCUCCUUGUACUUUAGUCUCCCCAGAUUAAGUUUAGUACUGUUUUAUGUGUUUCAGUUUAUGCCAGCAUUAAAGCUGUGUUUUGAGUUUACGUUUUUGUCUCUGUGAGUUUGCGUUUGGGUCCUCUCCUGCCUGCCACACAGCCGAAC